Molecule: unclassified non-coding RNA, 553 nt
Filed under: Scleria castanea
Lineage: Eukaryota; Viridiplantae; Streptophyta; Magnoliopsida; Poales; Cyperaceae
Description: partial external transcribed spacer 1
Source: RNAcentral
ACCGUUGUGGAGCUUGUCUCUUCAGUGUCCGGCUAGAUGCAUUCAUUAGCUUGGGCAGAGGGUGAUAUUUGGUUUGUGCUUGUGUUGCUACCUGUUGGGGAAACAACGCCGUCUUGUGACGGCAUAUCAUGUUGCCUUUGAUUGUGAUUCUGAGAAAGUUGCGUGGGCAUUUGAAACAUCGGCUUUGCUCGAGAGCGAUUGAUGGGUAUCGACUCGUCUGCAGCUCGCCUCGUAAUAUAUAGCUGCUCUCGUGGAUUCCGUGACUAUGUGGGUCUUUGUGGUCCUUUCGGUCUGCAUUUGACCUUGUAGUUCCUCGUAACAGGUCAUUGUGCGGUAAGCUUUGCGUCGCUGUUCUGCUCUUGACUGCGCUGGUCGGAGCAUGGCGGGGGACGCAGAUGGGGGCUUACGUGCAGUGCUGUACGUGUGAAGUUCUAUGGAUUAUUAGUGAUUGCCGGCGUGUGCGUGCGUGACGGUAUAACCUAUCCUGGUGUGCCUCCGCAGCUCGCAGGCUCACAAUUUUGUCGUGCUACCUGGUUGAUCCUGCCAGUAGUCU